Molecule: long non-coding RNA, 401 nt
Organism: Ipomoea nil (Japanese morning glory)
Lineage: Eukaryota; Viridiplantae; Streptophyta; Magnoliopsida; Solanales; Convolvulaceae
Exons: 3
Source: RefSeq, a predicted model, not a curated record
CUUUAGCUGCUUCUUCCCGCCUCCCCCACCAAUAGCAGAUCUUCGUCUCCUUAGCAGCGCACACCUGGGUCUUUGCCGUCAAAGUCACUCGUCGCCAUCACUGUCGCUCGUCGCCAUCACCAUUUCUGCUGCGCUACAGUGUCUUGUAAGGCUUUCUUUCUCGGGCCACCAUGGAAUUCUAGAAUGCUUGUUGAAGUACCAAUGAAAGGCAAGCUUUUCUAAUUUGACAUCUGGUCAACGAGCUCCGGUUGCGAGUGCCGAGUAGCAGCAUUUGGUCGACGAGCGACGAGUAGCAUCUUCUAGUCAUUUUAAUCUGUUUGGCUAUGAGCAAGAAUCAGAUUACUCAAAUGGGCAUGCAUCGACAGUUAGUUAGCUCUGCUAUUGUUUCAAAUUUGAAAACU